CAACCCUCAAGUCCCCUGUGGACUCGGUGUUGGGGACCGGCGAGACAGCCGCGGACCUUCUUCCGCAGCGAGUCGCCGCCCCCCAAAUGACUUGGCGGCCUCGUCGCGGCCCUCCUCUGCAUAGUAUAGCACACCUCGCAACAGGAGCCCGGCGGAUGGCCACUGCCGUAAAACCCCCCAACUUUCUCAG
Molecule: unclassified non-coding RNA, 190 nt
Filed under: uncultured Ascomycota
Lineage: Eukaryota; Fungi; Ascomycota
Description: sequence contains ITS2
Source: RNAcentral